Molecule: long non-coding RNA, 142 nt
Organism: Amblyraja radiata (thorny skate)
Lineage: Eukaryota; Metazoa; Chordata; Chondrichthyes; Rajiformes; Rajidae
Exons: 3
Source: RefSeq, a predicted model, not a curated record
ACCACCUCCCACGCAUAUGUUGAAACCCUUCCUCGACUAUGAAGAAAACCGGCUUCGACUAGACCUGUGACUAAAAAAUGAUCGAUUCUUUAAACGGCAACCUAUAUUUAGUCGAGGCUGGUUGUGAAUUAGAUGAAAUAAU